UACGUAGGUGGCAAGCGUUGUCCGGAUUUACUGGGCGUAAAGAGCGCGCAGGCGGUCGUUCAAGUCGCGUGUGAAAGCCCCCGGCUCAACUGGGGAGGGUCACGCGAUACUGAUCGACUCGAAGGCAGGAGAGGGUAGUGGAAUUCCCGGUGUAGUGGUGAAAUGCGUAGAUGUCGGGAGGAACACCAGUGGCGAAGGCGACUACCUGGCCUGUUCUUGACGCUGAGGCGCGAAAGCUAGGGGAGCAAACGGG
This 253-nucleotide ribosomal RNA is filed under the name uncultured bacterium. Its description in RNAcentral is "partial 16S ribosomal RNA". It matches the Rfam family "Bacterial small subunit ribosomal RNA", at positions 524 to 776 of the family's 1533-position model. The record is from RNAcentral.